CAGCCAUCAUUUAAAGAAAGCGUAAUAGCUCACUGGUCGAGUCGGCCUGCGCGGAAGAUGUAACGGGGCUAAACCAUGCACCGAAGCUGCGGCAGCGACACUGUGUGUUGUUGGGUAGGGGAGCGUUUUGUAAGCCUGCGAAGGUGUCCCGUGAGGGAUGCUGGAGGUAUCAGAAGUGCGAAUGCUGACAUAAGUAACGAUAAAGCGGGUGAAAAGCCCGCUCGCCGGAAGACCAAGGGUUCCUGUCCAACGUUA
RNAcentral lists this ribosomal RNA (255 nucleotides) under Salmonella enterica subsp. enterica serovar Kentucky. RNAcentral describes it as "partial 23S ribosomal RNA". It matches the Rfam family "Bacterial large subunit ribosomal RNA", at positions 1113 to 1367 of the family's 2925-position model. The record is from RNAcentral. Lineage: Bacteria; Pseudomonadati; Pseudomonadota; Gammaproteobacteria; Enterobacterales; Enterobacteriaceae.